AAAAGCCGAGAGAGAAGAAGAGAGCAUGGGAGAGAAGAACCGUGAGAGAGAAGGGGAGAAGAGAGGGCGGCUGCCCUUGAGGAAGAAGAAGAUGGAGAAGAAAAUCACCAUGGAAGAAAGAAGAAAGAAGAAGCAAAGGUAUAACUUUUCUCUCUCUAAUCUCUUUCUAUGGAAUUUUUAUGAAAUGGAUUUUUGAUUUGGGUGUAUAAAACCCUAAGAUAUAUGUGUUUUUAUUUGAUUCUAGUAUGGAUCCACCCAUGAUGGGUGUUGAUUUGGUUGGAAACCAAAAGGAAAAGAAAAAUAAAUUUUCUAGUUUUGAAAAUCGAAAUUUCUAUAUACUUUGAAUGUUUACCGUUUUAAAUCUAUAAUUUUUUUUUCUGAUCCGUCAAAAAGUAGUGCUAGAUGUAUGUGUUGGCUAGUAAACCCAAGUGGUAAAACUCAAAAAUCACGUUUCUAAAAGUCGUGGUGUUGAUUUAUGUGAAAACAGUCCCGGUUUUAGGGACAGUUUCGGAUCAGUCAAUGGCAGGGGCAAUUUCGUCCAGUUUUUUUUGUGCUUUACAACUUUUGGGCUUUUGAUAUGUUGUAGUACACUUAUUAAGCUUUCCAUAGACUCCAGAACGGACUAAUUCCGACUCCGGAUGAGGUAGUUAUGAUGUUCGGAAGGAGCGUAAUAAAACUGUCCAACCAAUCCCGAACAGCCUCCUUUGUUUAAAUUUUUGGACUGACAUGUUCGGAUUUUGGAAAAACAUCGUGAGACAAAAGUUGUAGCCCUAGAAGUUAUCUUCACGUGGGCUCAAGAAUCGCUCAAAAAUAUUUUGAAACGAAGAAGUUAUGACUGUUUUAGCGCAAUAGGGUCAAGCUAGAAAACUAUUAAAAACUGUUAUGACAGAGCAUUUUUGGAGCUUUGUUUGGACUGUUUAAAGUUUCUGAAAUGGGUGGGUAUACAACCUAUAUAAUAUUCAAACUUUCAACAUAAACGAAUCAAAGUUACGAGGAAUGAGAAGCUAUCAAAACAAGAGCUAAGAAGUAGGGGCUGCUACCUGCUAUAGAAGUGUUUGGUGAGCCAUUUUUGGCGUUGUGAUGCAUUUUGAUUAUUUACCCAUAAAUUUUGGGUUAUUAUUUCUAAAUAAAUGAGUGUAUAAGAUCUAUAACAUAGUUACAAUGUAAUAUAAUUGAAUCUACAAGCUAAAAGCUAAGCUUGGGGCUGUUGAGCCAAGUUUGGGUUGCUAUUAUUUUAUGGGGCUGUUUAGUAUUGCUUGGAAACAUGAUGGGUUAAAAAAAAAUAAAAAAAAUAAUAAAAAAAUUGAUUGUGUGGUCAAUGGGAAUAUUUAAAAUAUAACUGUACAAGUUAUAUGGCAUGUUUGUGUGGUUAAUAUGUUCAUAUAUAGUGAAAAUACAACUAUUUGCAAAAAAGAAAAGUAAAGCGAAAGUGUUAGCGGGAUAAAAUACAAUAAUUCGAGUUGACUCAUGAACAGGUAAAAUAAUUAUAUAAAAAUUAUUUAUAUUAAAGGAAUAAUAUAGUAAAUUGAAUUUUACUAUAAAAGCUAUUUAUUAGCUGUUUAAGUCCUGAAUUAAUGAGUAAAGACAUAAGAUAUUCCUAAAGCGGAAUAUAAGUGAUUGAAUCUUCAAAGUGUAAAAUAUUUAUAUACUCAAAUGUGAGGGACCUUUAUUUGGUUUAGAAAGGUUAAAAUGAAUUAAGUUUCUAAUAAACUAAUAUUCAUUUUGAGUAAGAAUAAGUAAUAUUAGUUUGUAUAAAACUAAUAAUUGUUAUUGAUGAAUAUACAUGCAUGUUUUGUAACAUAUUCGAUUAUCUAAUAUGUGUGUGCAUGUAAAUAUAAUUCUGUAGGAAUUGUGGAGAAACUCUAAGUUAAAUUUUGUGGUAAUCUCCAAUCAAGGCAAGUUUUUCGGUUCUAUGAUGCUUGUGGAUUAAAUGUGAUUAUGUGGUGAGUUACAUACCAUACUUUAUGAAUUGUUAAAAUCAAAAUAUGACUAAGUUAAUUGGGUUAUGGAACUCAAUUUAUAUGUGAUAUGUGAUAACACGUGUUGUAUAAUGUAACUCGAUAAAUUAGAAAUGUAUAAUGCAUGAAUGUAUGCUUUGUAAGGAAUUAUUGUUGCAUGUAGGAUAUGCAUAGUAAAGAAUACAUGUUGCAGGCAGAUAUGCAUAAUAAAGGAAAUAUAGUGCAUAUGAAAUUGUGUGCUAUGUGAAACAUGAUAGACUGUUAAAUUUGCUGGGCUGUCGAGCUCAAUCUUGCAAACACAAACUUUUUGCAGGUUAAUGAUGUUAGGCAAUAUUACUUGCUAUACGGAUGAUGAAGAUUGAACGAUGUGCAAAAGUGAAUACAUUUCCUUGAAUUAGAAAUGGUAUAAAUCUAUGAUUGAUAGUUUUGUCAAAUAUAAUUGGCAGCUAUGUACGGUUUGAAAUGUUGAAUGAAUAAAGAAUGUUUAUUCUGAAAUGAGAAUAGAUAUGAUUCUAAAAUAAAUGAAUCAUCGAUAGAAAAGAUAUGAAGUAUUGAGACUUAAGCUUUUAAUACAUUUGCACAGAUUAUACAAAUCAUAUAAUAAAUAUGUUUCUAGUAUAAAGAAGAAUUAUAAAGGUUGCGAUUCAGGGAAUGAAUGAAUGGAAGAAAAGAAAAAAAUAAAAAAAAUUUAUUCCGCAUUUUUAGCUAUUUUCACAUUAAAUAAUGUUUUAAAGCUAGAACAAGAUAAUAUUAACGCACAAGAUCGGGGAGAGAAAUUGUCCCGAUUUUGGGGGCGUUACAGUUGGUAUCAAAGCUGUAGGUUAUAAACCUUAGGUAGGUGUACCUUAGGCUAUAACCGCGAAGAUGAUAAGUAAUAAACUCGAAUAGAGUUUAAUCGAUAAGAGAUGAAUUUUUGGAAAUUCAUUAUUAAAGUAAAGAGAAAGAUAAAGAAGAUUCAAAGAAGAAUCUUAAAGAGCUAUAAAGAUAAUAAUCUGGAGUUACCUAACUCCAGUAAUAAAGAUAAAAAGUGAUACUAAAUAGACGAUGUCUAUAAGAUGAAAAGUGCAAAUAAAAUCAUAAUAUAAUAUGAUUAAAGAGAAGAAUAAGAAGAUCGUAAAAUAAAACGAUCGUAAGCAUAAGGAGAAAUGAUUACAAAAAUAAGAUCACCACGUGAUCAGGUUAAAUCAUUGAAUAACAUAUGAUAUGUUAAGUGAUUGGCAUGAUAUAGCUUGAUGCUAUAAAGAGAAGGUACUGUGAAAUGGUACAAUGUAAACUCAGAAAAGAGUGGUAAAUGUUAAGAUACGGAUUAAAGAAAAUUUGUAUUAAGAAAAGAGAAAGUUAAGAGUAUGUGGGUUUCCAAUUGAGGACUCAGGUCAGCAGCUGAGUUGUAUGAUUCUUUGUAUGGGCGGGAAAUUUGUACUUGGUUUUAGAAUCACUUAGCUUCCUGGUCGAUAUAGUGGUUAGGUUGACUAAUUCUUUGUAUGGGCGGGGAAUUGUCCGUUUAGCUUCCUAUAUUGAUUAGUGGCCGAGUUUGGUUUGACAACCACUUAGUUUCUGACAUUGAUAAUCAUUGGAACCUAAUGUCACGCUAUUUGCUAUAUGCAUGUUGAGAAGGUGAUUCUUUUCUUAUGUGUAUAACGAAUAGGUAGAGAAUAUAAGGUUAGUUGCGAGUUCUUAAAACUCAUACUUAUGGUAAGUUCAUGACUCAUAAUCAUAUGGUAUGUUUUGAACCCCUUAGCGAAUGGACGUCUAUGGUCUGACUAGGAUAAGUUCUUAAACUCAUAUGAUUGUGGCAAGUUCCUGAACUCAUAAUGUGUGGUAAGUUUGAUGGACUGGGGGUAUAGCAAAGUUGUAAAUGGAGAAUUGAGGAUUAUAUGAAUAGAUAGAUUUAUUAAGUAAUGGAUUAAUAGAGAAAGUGAAGUUGAUGAUGUAAACAUAGGUAUUCCAAAUCUUCUAGCUAUGCUAGAUUUCAAAGUUUUUGACAUCAAGCUAAAUACGCACUAUGUGCUUUUGAAAAAUGAAUUACCUUUUCCCGCAUUCACACUCCCUAUAUCCAUUCUCCUUUUUGGACAGUCCUUCACCUUAUGCUCCGUGGAUCCACACAGAAAACACCCAUUGUUCAUCCUAGGAUUGGGACAGUUAGGAGAGAUAUGUCCCUCCUGCCCACACUUAUAGCACAAAAACUUGCUUUUAAGACACUCACCUGAAUGACUCUUUCCACAAUUCUUACACUGUACAGCCUGCUUUUUCACACCUUCCUGCUUGACCUGGACACUCCCAACAUUGCUCCACUUCCUUUUUUCACCCCUACUUCCACUACCUACUUCUGCCUUCCCAGCUCCCUCACCCUUAAUCUUUCUCUCCUUAUUGUAGACACUCAUGGCUUCACUUCCCCUUUCAGCUAUGAUAGCCUUUUCUAAGAGUGUGGCAAACGUAUUGAUCUGCAACACCGCCACCUUAUUGUAGAGCCAUGGUUUUAGGCCUAGCUCAAACCCUCCUUGCCUUUCUAGCCUCCAUAUCUACUUGGUGCGGAGCGAACCUAGCUAAUUCAUUGAACUUUGCGGCAUACUCCGCAACUAUCAAGUUCUCCUGCUUCAAUUCCAAAAACUUCACCUCCAUCCUAGCCUGCACACUAGCCGAGAAAUAGUUCUCAAAGAAUAGCGUCUUAAACCUAGUCCAUGCUAUCACUACAUCUCCUGCCCUAGCUUGAUUCUCCUCCCACCAGAAAUUCGCCUCUCCCUUCAUCAUAUAGGUGGCAAAAGCUGUCUUUUGCCCCUCAUCUACCCUAGCGACUACAAAUGCUUUUUCUAUUUCUUUAACCCAAGUUUGGGCUUCUAUUGGGUCAGUAGUACCUCUAAAUUCUGGCAGUCAUACGGCCUUAAAAUCCUUGAAGUUCGCAAAUCGAUUGUCUCGCUGAUUUCCCGCCGCUGGCAUUCCAUUCUGCAUGGCCUGAGCUACCAUGUUCGCAAAAUUCUGCAUCAGGUUUGGUUGUUGUCCUCCAGCAUUGUUGACAGAUUCUUCUGCCCUUUGGUUUCCAAUUCGACGUCUUGGCGGCAUUUUUUGGUUAAAUAAAAUAAAAUCAAUAAUUUAUUAACUUACAUUCUAAACUAUCGUAUAAGUUUAAUAUUUAAAACUUAUUCAAGUAAUCAAACAUAGAUUCAUAUUCAUUUAACUAACUCAUAGUACAUAUCAUAGCACAUUCUGCUUUAAACAUCCAAUAUCCCUUUGUGACCACAAAAGUCGGGAAUCGCUACCACAACUUACACCAAAGUUGGGAUUAUUAUAAUAAACACGUACAUUACCAAACAUACAUAAUCAAAUACUAAUUCUACCUAUUUCCUAAACCUCUUUCCUGAUUCUGGACAACCUUUCGCUUGAUGACCUUCCAACCCACAAAUAAAACAUGCACCUUUCUUAAAGUCGAGGCAAUGAAGAGAGGUAUGUCCCUCACGGCCGCAAAUAUAACAUAUCUUUUUCCCUUGCUUAUUAUUAGAUUUUCCUAAGUCAUGGUCUUUUAUCUUUCUUUUCCCCUUCUCGCUCGGAGCUGCACACAAUGUGUUGCUUUUGGCUCCCAUCUGAUCAAUUUGGAUCUUAAGCUUAUCUUGUUCUUCCAUCGUUUCGAUUAAUGCCUUUCCCAAUUGACUAUUUAGUAUCUUUUCUAUCUCCCACAACUUUUCUAGAGAAGAAACCUUGUUCCUCAAAUUCUGCACUUCAGUUGAUGCUUGAUCAGCUCCAACUUCGGUGUCCAAAUCACUAUCUGUUAGUUCCAUUAUUUCUGGGUCCAGUACUAUAUUUUCCAAAAUGAUCACCUCAUCUAGGUUAUCUUCAACAUGAGCCUCUAUUUCAGCUAUUGGCUUUGAUAUUGUCUUGGUUAUGGAGAUUGGCUUCUUCUUUACGAUCUUAGGGUAUCCUAAUCCUUUUCCUCCUGACAUCUACACAUAAAUUAUCCCGAUUAGCAUAUAAUAUAUACACACAGCAAGUAAAAGUUUUAUAUAAGUUACCUUUUAUUUGGUUUGAUGACGAAUUAUUUGAUUCAUCUCCUUUUAAACUCUAUAUGAGUUAUUUGUAAUUUCAACAUUUUCCUCUACUCUAAGUUUAUAGCCUAAGGUCUACCCCCCACCUAUGGUUUCUAACCCUUAAGCUCUGAUACCAACAUGUGACGCCGCCAAAUUAAGGUACUUGAAACCCGAAUUCAGUGCCUCACGAUACCAUUUCUUUGAGCGAAAUAAUAAUAAUUUUGUCAUAAAUAUCAAACUUAAUUUACAUAUCAGAGUUGUCUAAAUCCCAGGUACGCGAGCUUAAAACAUUUCAUUACAUGAUAGAUAAUAAAUAUGAUCAUCUUAUUUAAGUUUAGCUAUUACAUAAGAUAACACAAACUUAUUCUGAAAGCUUUCCUUUCCCUUUGCUCCUGGCAGAGCCCUCUGGUUGGUCAUACUUAACUGAAAACAUUUAAAUUAAGCAAAAAUGAGCAUUUGAGUGCCCAGCAAGUAAUAGCAAAUAAUAAACAUUAGCUGAAAGGAUUAAAUGUUCUCUUUGAGUGACAUUUCUACAACGAAGCAAUAGUUGUGAAGUAAUUGAAACAAUUCUAAUCAACAUACCAAUUCUAUUUCAAAUUUUUGAAACUACGUAUUGACUAUAAAUAGAGAUCAGUCGACAGACUAUGAACAUUGUUUUCUAUUUUCGAAAAGGUUUAACAGAACUUCAUCUAUAAACCGUCAUAACUUACGGGCACGGGGGGUGAUCAGCCCGUUAUGCCCUGUAUUGAUCAAUACUACAUACCAGAACGAUAUUCUCGUUCAUCAUAACCGCCUUGGGCGCACAAAAGUUUCCCAGAUUUGGGAUGUUCAUACUUAGCCUGAAUCCAAACCAAAACAAUUUGGUUGGAUAUCAUUAGGGUUCUAUCAUGUUCAAUGAUAUUCUUAAAUAUGUGUCUUGCCUAGUCAAAUAGCUUAGACGACUUUUAAUUAAGAUAUACAUACUGGAAAUCAACAUCCAUUAACAUGUACAAUAAUUAUCCAAGUGAGGACAUUUGUAUAACCAUACUUAGAAUUUAAUGAACAUAAUAUAUAUAUAUAUAUAUAUAUAUAUAUAUAUAUAUCUGAAUCUUAUAGUAAUACGGUACUGAUAAACAAUGAACGAAUAAAGUUUGGAACUUGUAUGAAUAUAAAUGAUUGGAUACAUAAUCAAUAACAAUAGAGUUUAAUAAUCUAGCAUAAUGAUAAUAUAAUUCUGAAAUUUUCUUACUCAUGUCCAUUUCAUAAAGUAAAUGCAAAGGUUAGGAUUCUUGCUCAAGUAAAAGAGGAAGAAUUUAGGAACUUGCACAAUAAGAGUAGGGUUCAGAUACUUGCUCGAUAUAAAUUUGAGUAAGGUUAGAGAACUUGUCUGGUCUGCUGCUUACACAACUUAGUUCUAUCUUUAAUUCAACGACCUAUCAUUUAUAAGGUUGUUCUAUUGAUUAGAAUAACAUAUCAUAACACAUCAUAAUGUUAUUUAUAGUCAAUACAUAACCUAAUCACAUUGUCACAUAGUUAUAUCAGUCAUUAAGACACAAACAAACACUUAUACAGUCAAACUAUAUAGGUUUGGAUCAAUUUUGAUAACAUUUUGGUGUACCGACGGCUUUAUCGAAAAAAUAUCGAGUUUAAAACUCUAAUCUAUAUCUUAAAUACUAUUCUGGAUAAUUAAAUAUCAAUCAUAUUAUUUAUAAAUGAAUUAUAAUAAUUUAUAAUUAAUUAUUAUAAUUUAUCAUAAUUUUUCAAACUCUGGAAUCAUUUAUUAAAUGAUUUAAAUAUUAUAGAAUUCUAUUAUCAUUAAUAUUUAAAUAAUAUCUAAAUAUUAAUAAAACCAUUUAUAAUAACUCAAAAUAUUUUUAAAGUAUUAAUAUUACCCUUAAAUGAUUUUUAAAACAUUAAAAAUCAUUUUUAAACAAUUAUCAUUAAUAUUUAAAUAUUAAGGUAUUAUUUAUCAAACUAUUAAAAGUCAUUAAUUAUAACUUAAAAUAUUUUUUAAUUUAUUUAUAUCCUUUUUAAAUCAAUAAAACCAUUUUAAAACUAUUUAUUUAAUAUUAUUAUUAAAUAAAUCUAAUAUCAUUAAAAUUAAAUAAUUAAUGAAAUUUACCUUAAAAUAUUAAAAGUUAUAUUUUAUAACUUAGAAUAUCUUUAAACUCUUUAUUUUUAUUUAAAAUAAUUUUUAUAAUAUUAAAAUCAUUUUUAAACUAAUUUAUUUAAUAUAAUUAUUAAAUAAAUCUAAUAUCAUUAAUAUUAAAUAAUUAAUGAAAUUUGCUUUAAAAUAUUAAAAGUUACAUUUUAUAACUUAAAAUAUUUUUAAAUACCUUAUUAUUUAAAAUGAUUUUUAAUAUAAUAAAAUCAUUUUUAAUUAAUUUAUUUAAUAUAUUUAUUAAAUAAAUUAAAUAUCAAUAAUAUUCAAUUAAUUACUAAUAUUUAUGGAAAAUAUGUCAAAUUAUUAAAAGUUAAUUUUUAUAACUUAAAAUAAUUUUUAAAACUGAUUUUGUAAUUUUUAGAAUUUAUUUACUAUUUUUAAAUGAUUUUUAUAAAUUAAUAUAAUUAAAAUUAAUAAGUCUGUCGCUAUAGCCUUUAGCGACAGUAAGUGUCGCCUUAGGUGUUUUUGAGGCUCAAGAACACUGACAGACAGUGAUCAAGGUGUCUUGUUUGACUACCUCAUAAUCUCUGUCUAAACAUGAUUUGAGCUAACUAAGACACUGACAUUGUAGUAUUGUUGUAACACUACAAGAUCCAACUAUCAUCUAAGUCAUAACUCAUCACAACAAGGAGAUCUAGCCCAUCAAACUCACUGUCAGAGCUUCCUAGGUUUUCUGGGUUACCCAGAAACCCAGUCAGCUUCGAGGGUACACUUUGAGGCUUAAACAUAUUAGGGUUCUGGUUGAUAUUAUGGUGAUAUAAUGGGUCUAACCUGUAGUAUACAUGGCAAAGUACAUGUAACACUCCUACCAUCAGCUAAACUACACCAUAAUCAGAAGCUAGAACCCCGUCAAACCAUGUCAGAAUUAACGGUCUUAAGUUUUCUGGGUUUUCCAAAAAACUGUGUUCGUGAUCAAGCAAGCUAGUUUGACCAACCAUUACUUUCAGUCAAUUGAUCAUUCGAGUGAUAUAAAGGCACAUAUCUAAAGCCCAUAUAACAGGCUAUAACAUAGAUACAAAAACAUCAUCAACACACAUAAAAUCUGACAGUUAUUAGUCCUUGAAAAUCUUGUUAGACGUGGUUAAAGGAUUUCUGGGUUUUCCAGAAUUCAUCUGGUCAUGCCCGGUCAACGAGUUUUGACCAAAAAUAACAUGAAAUUUACAUAUUGUGACAACCCGAAAAAUUUCUAAAAUCUUAAAUGAUUAGAAUAAAGGUUAAAGAAUAAAACCUAGAUGGGAAUUUGAGGAUUUAUUUAAAUUUUUCAAGUAAAACCUAUAUGGUUUGAUAUUCGAAUGAGAAUAGAGAAAAUAUGGGUUAUAAAAUUUCUAAACCCUAGAAAUGAAUUAAUAUGUACUUGAAGGAAUAUCAAGAAUAAGGUAUUAUGAUACCUGUAAAUUCGAUGUGAAUGGAAUAGUCUAAGAAAUGUUUUAUAAGUACAUAUGGAAAUUUUAUUAUUGGAGAUAAGAUUUCACAUGAAGAGAUGCUAUGAGGUUAAACGAAGAUGAGUAUAUGUAUAGAAAUAUAUAUACUUAGUAAGGUGCUAUAUAUUUUAGCAAGAAGAAUGAUGAAUUAAGUUAAUGAUAUAAUGAUCAAGAUAAAACUAUGUUAGUAAUUAACAUAGCUUGAGUGUUGGCCUUGACUGGAAAAUAAGAAUUUGAAGAAGUAUAAAGUCGUUAGUUAAUACGAUUAAUAAUGAGAAAUGAGUAAUUUAAAACUCAAAAUUUGAGUUAGAGAUAGAAUUUUGAAGCAUGGACUGCUCGGUUGCNNNNNNNNNNNNNNNNNNNNNNNNNNNNNNNNNNNNNNNNNNNNNNNNNNNNNNNNNNNNNNNNNNNNNNNNNNNNNNNNNNNNNNNNNNNNNNNNNNNNAUAUCAUAUAUACAAUAAUCAUAUUUUCAUGGAAAAUAAAUAAUAAAUAUUUUUAUUACAACAUAAUUUUAUUAUAAGAAUAUAAUCUAUAAUGAUCAAUAGUUCUAAAAAGAAAUUAGUUACAUCUAAUAAAUAAUUUUAUUUAUCAGAUAUAUACAUAUACUUUACUUUGCACAUAUUCCCACCCUUAUCUAUAUAAAAAAAUUAUUCGCAAAAUUUCUUAUUGAAAAUAUUGGGUUAUUACAUCCACCCUCCCUUAUAAGGAUUCCGUCCCCGGAAUCACCGCUUUAAAACCUAUAGACACUACGGAAAAUAGCAUACGCAGUCAUUUUAAGUAGAUCUCGAUCAGAUUUGAUCGAACUGAUCUUUAACUACUCAACAUAAAGCUUGUCUAUCUAAUUCUACGGAAAUUUGAUUUCUAACAGAACCCAAAUUUCUCCUUCAAAAUUUCUUUAUAACAUAAUUUACUUAUAUUUAAGAAAAAUCAUAUAUAUGAAAAUACAAUUCAUACGAAUAAUACCUGAAGUUCCAUCCUCGGCUGCUACGGUAUCCUGAACCAUCAUGUUGAAGACUCUUGCAAUUGAUUUCAUCGAAGUUGGUCCCGUUAUCGCCAUUGUUCCACUGCCUUUUCCCGCAUUCACACUCCCUAUAUCCAUUCUCCUUUUUGGACAGUCCUUCACCUUAUGCUCCGUGGAUCCACACAGAAAACACCCAUUGCUCAUCUAACACAACUUUAAAGAUCAAAUUUCUAGGGUUAGGUUUAUACCUCUUAUGAACAAAAUCUUGAAUCUGUCUUCUUGAUCUGUUAUGGGUGGACUUGGGACUUGAUUAGGGACUGGUCUAGCAAGAGAAUUUCGGAUGUUUGAAGUUGAGAGGGUUUUGGUUAACUGUUGUAAGUAAAAUGAGCUAAUUUAUGCAACUUCUAUCUCCUUAAUCUUAUAUAAUACUUGAAUCUAAUGUACUUGUGAUGCAAGAUGGCUGAGAUUUUUGGUUUAUAGGCACAUGGCUAGGUUGAGUUGGUUUACCAACUAAAGUUAUGGCAACCUAUACAAGUUAUCUAUUAAAUAAUAUAAGAAGGGCAAUUUGGUCAUUUGGUUUUUACUUUUAGUGGCAAAGUUGUCAAUUCAUUCUAACCCUUAGGGUUUAACUGUGAUGCCCCCAAAAUAGGUAUACAUCACCCAUCUUGGGUCGCCAAAUACAUGGUACAGAAUACAAAUACAAACUUAAUUAUACAACAUGAGCUGAGAGUUUUUACACGAAUAUUGUCUUCUAGACAAUAUCAAAACUUAAAUAGUGUCCUCAUUACAUUUAUUGGCACACUAUUUAAUAGAAUAUUGAGGACUAUUAUAACACCAUCUCGGGCCAUCACUCCGUUCCCCGACUAGUUCCGGCUACGUUCUCAUUUCCUGAAGAGAACAAUGGAAGUAAAAGGGUGAGCUCAACUAGCCCAGUAAUAAAUAUUAUGACUAAGAUAAUGCAGAAUAAAUUAUCAUUAGCCUUCAACAAUGUUAAACUAAUAGAAUAUAAUAGACAACAAGUUUACCUGCAGCGGAACAAACAAUCCAUUAAAAGAGUCAAGUAGAACAUGAUAUCUACUAUCUUCUAUGAUUUAAAAAGUUUAUCAUUAACUUUAUUGCUGGGACUCAUCUUUGUAAAUAGAUCACAUCAUUGAAUCAUCCCUGCACUACGGGCCAAGGAUAUUCAUUAGUAUCACGUCCACAAAUUAUUCUUGCACUACGGGCCAAGAAUUAUUCAUGUAAUCAUCAAUGGUCAUGACUAUACCGAAUUAUCCCUAUUUAUAACCAUACCAAUCAAUAGUCCAUCUAUGCACGUAAGCCAAAGAUGACUUUCAUCACAAUAUAAGAAUGAGGAUGAUGACAAUGAUAUAAGAAUUCAAUUAAAAGAAAGUAAAGGAUAAAUUUUUAAAGAUUUAUAAUUUAAUUUAUCCAAAAUUCAAUAAUGUCCAAAUUUUCAACAUGAUAUUGCUUUGUAGAGUAAAAUUCAAGAAUAAUAUCCAUGUAUCAAAAAUAAUUUGGACAGAAAAGAAAUAAAUUUUUCGGUGAAUAAUACCCCGUGAAUAGUAUCCUGUGAAUAGUACUUCGAGAAUAGUACCCCAUGAAUAGUAACUCGUGAAUAGUACCCCGGUAUGAAAAGUGCCUCGAAUACCCGAGUGAAUAAUAUUAUAGUGAAUAGUAACUGGCUGAAUAGUAACCCGUGAAUCGUAACUCAUGAAUAGUACUUCGGGUGAAAAUAUUGAUAUUUAAUAAGAAAGUUCGUAUCAAUAUUCCAAUAAAAUGAUACUGGAUGAAGCGCAAAACUCACGGAUAUUCCACUAAUUUCAAAGAUUAUAGAAGCAAUACUUACCAUAAUAAGUUUAGAUUUAAGAAUAUGAAAAGAAAUAACAUACGAAACUGUAAAUGGAUUUUCACCUGUCAUAUGGUACGUAAUCCGCGUAGACAGAUUAUUCCGACAUAUUAAAGGAUGAAUACAAAAAAUAGUAUUCCUUAUGAAUACAAAAGAAAUAAUACACCUUACCUUAGUAGAAAGCUGAAUACUGCAAAAGUGAAGUAGCAGAAUACUCUUCUUCUUGCUUUCUAUAGUUUUUCUCUCUAUAGUGUCUCUUGUGAAUCUUAGUGAAUUGGUGAGAAUGAAAGAAGAAUUAAGCUUCUAUUUAUAGGAGAAUGGACUAAAUAGUAACUAAUUCAUGAACGGUCCAGAUUAAUUCACUAUUUGAACGGACAGUCCAUAUUGAUUACUAUUAAAACCACCACCGACGGUCCAGAUUGAUUUACUUUUAAAACCACCACCGACGGUCCAAAUUGAUGUACUUUUAAAACCACCAUCGACGGUCCAGAUUGAUUUACUUUUAAAACCACCAUCGACGGUUUAGAUUGAUUUACUUUUAAAACCACCAUCAAUGGUCCAGAUUGAUUUACUAUUAAGACCACCAUCAAUGGUCUAGAUUGAUUCAACUUAUUAUUACACUUUAGUACCCCUAAAGUUUUCCAAGUUUGCAUUAUUCCUCUUUAACUUUUGUAAUUCACUUAUCUUCAAUAAACACAUUCUUAAUACUUCAACAAUUAUUCAUCAUUAAUAUUAUAACUCAUAAUAUUUAACAACCAGAUCGUUCCCAGGAAAGAGGGGGCUUUCCAAUAAGGAUUUCUCCCUAUUGGCACACAAUUAGGUGACCAAACCUCUCCUCGACAGAACUUUCUAGGCAUUGUCAAAAUAAUAAUAUGAAUAACUUUGUUGUAUCAAUUAUUGAUUUAUUAAUAUAAAAUAUUAUGCAGAUGAUAAUGUGACAAUAAUUGAAUCAAAUAACGUGAGAUACUAUGCAACAAUUACAGUAGUAAUAAUUGAGUAUAAAUGAGUGACUUCUCACGUAAGCAUCAAUAAUCAAUACCGUGUGCUACUAUGCAACAACGCAUAUUACUAUACAUUUACCACCGGGUAGUUCAACAGUUUAACGGUAAAACUUCUGUUGUUAUUUUUAUAAAAAGAUAUUUCUAUCGUUUUUUAACUACGAUAAUACUUCCGUUGUAGGGUCCACUAAUGAUUGUACCGUCGUACGAAUAUUCCCUGUUAAAAUGAAUAUUCCCCGACCAAUCGAAUAUUAACUGACACAACGAAUAUUUUAUAUCAACUUGCUUAUUUUGCAAAAAUUUUCAAAUAUUACCCACAACUAUAACAUUAUAUCAUAUCAACACCAUAAUAUUCAAAAAUAUAUUUCAAAAAAAAUUAUUCUUUAUUCAAAAAAAAAAGUUGGGGUCUUACAACCUCCCCUUCAUAUAAAAUUUCAUCCUCGAAAUUAAGGUACGUACCUAAUAUGUCGAAGAGGUGAGGAUACCUUGAUUUUAUUUUAGAUUCUAACUCCCAGGUCAUUUCCUCCACAUCGUGGUUUCUCCAUAAAAAUUUGACUUGAGGUAUAACCUUGGAGCGUAGAAUAUGAUCCUUCUUAUCCAAGAUUUUAACAGCUACCUCUUCAUAUGUUAAAUCUUCCGCUAUCUCGUCCGGUUCUAAUUCAAUAAUGUGGUUCGGGUCUUUCACAUAUUUAAGUAACAUAGAUAUAUGAAAAACGUUAUGAACACAACACAUACUUGGCGGUAAGGCGAGUCUAUAGGCCACAGUUCUUACUCGAUCAAGGAUUACAAAUGGGCCAAUGAAUCGAGGAUUGAGCUUUCCUCUCUUUCCAAAUCUCGUAACUCCUUUCCAUGGAGCAACACGUAACAACACAUGAUCUCCAAUAUUGAAUUCCACGUCCUUUCGAUGAAGAUCAGCAUAACUCUUUUAUCGAUCUUGUGAGGUUUUUAUACGUUGUCGGAUCGUUUGAAUAUUUUUCGUAGUCAUACGUACCAACUCCGGUCCCAACAAUGUUACUUCACCUACCUCAUCCCAGCAUACUGGAGAACGACACUUUCUUUCAUACAACACCUCAAAUGGAGCCAUGUCAAUACUCGUUUGAUAACUGUUGUUGUAGGAAAACUACACCAAUGGUAAGUGUAAUAACCGUGAAUUUUAAGUCACUAUAUAUGUAUGUACAUUAUUGAUAUUUAAAACUUUGUGUUAUAUAGUGAUUUAAUAUGUGACAACAUAUGUGAAGUGGUGUAUGAUUCAAUAAACAUAUAUACUAUAGUUAUGGAUAUAUAAAUUUAUAGAUUUCAUUAAAAAUGAAAGCUUCAUAACCUAAUUAUACAUUAGGUGAGACAAUUAAAUAACCUAAGGGUUAUGGUAUUAAGGAAAUGUUAGUAUUUAAUAUGUAUACUAACUUAAGUGGAUAAUCUUGUUAUUUCAAGUGACUAAUAAUUUUAAACUUAUUUCUAGUAAACCUAAUUAGGUUAUGAGCAAAAGUCACAUGUAUAAGUAAUUAAAUUUCAUAAGAUUGGGAAUGGAAAUCCUAAAUAAACAAUUUGGAUAACAUAUAUUAAAAUUGUUAGACUAUGUUUAUUACAUGGCCCAAAACAAUUAAAGGAGAAGCCCAAAAGAAAUAAAAUACAAACCAAUGCUUAGCCCACUUGAUUAAGGGUAUUUUAGACUUUUGAUUAAUCAAAUUUAUGCAUUAAAAUAAAUGCAAAAUGGAGGAGAUAUUGGGGCAAGGGAGACCGGCCAUAUUAGGCCAUUUAAGGCAACAAAAUUAUGUUUAUCAAGUUCCUUAAUUAGUAACUCUUACAUCAAGUACAAGUGUGUCCAUCUCCCAUUGGUUGAAAAUCUACUUAGCGCCCUUAAUCACAUGAUUAGGCUUAAUUGAAAGAGAUAAGGCAAAGCCUUUUCUCCAAGGGACAACAAAAGUAUGGGGGAUAUUAGUUAAAUCACUCAUUUCAAUUACUAGAUUUUUUCAUUUCUCUUAUUCUCCUUCUUCUAUUUUUCUCCCAAGCUACCAAAAUACUAAGAGAGAAAAGAGAGAGAGGGGUUCGGUUUUGAGAGAGAGAGAGAGAGAGGUGUGCUAGUUGUUUAAUGCACCCUAAGAUUAUAUACUACUUUGGUAAAUCAAGGAAGGUUGCUACUAGAUCAAGGUAUAACCUAAUCUUCAUCUUCUUUUUCUAUUUUGUGUUAUAGCAUCUUUUGUUGGGGUUAUGAGCUAAUACACAAGACACCCUAGUUCUACAUAUCAUCAUGUAUGGAACUAAGUAUCUUGAGUGUUAGAUCAAAGUUUUAGAGGAAGAAAAUAAGCAUAUGUUCUCCUAGGGGUUAAACCCUUAUUUUUUUUUUGAUUUUCUUCCACUAAAUCUUGUGUAACUCAAGUUUUACAACUUGGAUUUGUGAUCUGUCAAAGGGGGGUGCAAGAUACAUGAGUUAUCUAGUAAACCCAAGUGGUAGAACACAAAUAUAGCAAUUAUUGAAGCCAUGGGGGCUAUUUUUCCCAAAAUAGUCCACAUAGUGUAUUAAAGUUUUAAAACCCUAAAAAGCUACUGUCCCCGUUUUUCUUAGGGUUGUUUCGGACAGUUUCAUAUCUUUUAAAAAUCUGGGAAAAAUCACAGAGGUACCUUAAGAAGAUAUCUAUGUGUAGGAAAAAGAACGGAUACGUUUCGAUUUAUAGGUUGUGCGUAAUGGCUAUUUCCGUAAAGGACUCCUAAAUAUUAACACCCGAAUUUCUCACAGUGUAUGCAUGGAAAAAUUCCAAAAAUUUUAUAGUAUGUUCAUAUAUGUUAUGAGAGUAUACUCUGAAAAGUUCAGAUUUUUCUGAGCAAAACUCGAUUUAUGAAAAAUGAAGCAAGAUCCGAGUGUUUUGGGCACUUUAAAAUUAGUAAAUCAUUUUCUAAAAUUCCAGAAACAUUUGGGGAUCAUUGUUGGGUCAUAUACUGUCCAAAUCGAGAAAAGAAGAAUUUUUGAAAUCAGUUUGGUAUUUUUCCUAAAAAUGAUGAAGUUAUGAAUAAAGGAAAUAAAUAGUUAAAUGAUGUUUUAAAUAAGAAAAUUGUGAUUUUAAUGCUUGAAUACUCCUAAUAUAUAAUAUUAUGACUAUUUUAGGGCAUUUUAGUAAUUUAAAAUAAGAAAUAUUAUUUAUGACCUUUUAUGGAUAUUAAAUAAGAGGUUUUAUAAAGGGUGAACAAUUAGAAUAAAUUGUUUAUUGAGCUAAUAAAUUAUUAAAAUGUUAUUAUGAUAUUAAUAAUAUUAGAAUAUGAUAUUGUUAAGUAAAUAAAAAUAUUAAGAUUAAAACUUCAUUAAAAUAUUAUUAAAUGGUUACUAAUAUUUGAUUUAAGCAUUAAUAAACAAUUAAAGUAUUAUUAAAUGAUUAAUAAUAUUAGAUUAAAAUAUUAAUCUUAUAUUAAAAUAUUAUUAAAAGAUUAAUAAUAUUAAAUUAAAGUAUUAUUGGAUGAUUAAAAUAUUAUUAAGUAAAUAAUAAUAUUUGAGAUUAAAUAAAAUGUUAUUAAUGUAAUAACAUUAGUAAAGAAAUAAAAUAUUAUUAAAUGAUUAAUAAUAUUAGUAAAGUAUUAAAAUAUUAUUAAGUAAAUAAUAAUAUUUGAGAUUAAAUAAAAUGUUAUUAAUGUAAUAACAUUAGUAAAGGAAUAAAAUAUUAUUAAAUAAUUAAUAAUAUUAGUAAAUGAAUAAAAUAUUAUUAAAUAAUUAAUAAUAUUAGUAAAUGAUUAAAAUAUUAAUAUUAUUGGUAAAUAAUUAAAAGUAUUAUUAAUUGAUUAAUGAUACUAAAGCAUAAGUAAGAUAUUAUUAAAGUAAUAAUAUUAAUGCAUGAUUAAAAUAUUAUUAAGAGGAUUAAUAAUAUUAGUAAAGUAUUAAAAUAUUAUUAAGAUGUUAAUAAUAUUAGUAAGCGAAUAAAAGUAUUAUUAGUGAACUAAUAAUACUAAGAGGUGAAUUAAAUAUUAUCAAGAUUAAUAAUAUUAAGUGAAUUAAAGGUAGUUGUUAUUUAAUAGUAACAUUAUUGAGGCGGGAUAAUAUUUCUAAGAACUAAAUGUAACAUAUAAUAACUAUGUGAUUACAUAAUCUAAUGUUAUGUUAUGGCUAAUUGAAAGAUUAACUAUAGGUCUCUCAAAGGAAGAUAAUUAAACUGCCUAGCGGAUAGAAUUUAAUUGCGUAGCCGUAAUCUACAAACGAGACAAGUUUCCUAACUCAAACUCGAGUUAUUAUUUUCAAAGCAUGUUAGUGAAUAAUUAUUGAUGAUUAUUCACAUCUAUAAUGAUUAUUGAAAUUCGCACUUUGUGCAAUUGAAUUCAUGUUCUAUUAUUAUUGAACUGUGAAUUAAAUUAAAGUUCUUUCAUUCAUGAACUGUUUAUGAGAUAGAUCUAUGCUAAUUGUAUUAGCUAGAUCAAGCAUGUUUAAAUUUGUUAAAUCAAAUGUGUUUUAAAAAGUUGUUCUUAUUAAAUUGAUAUGAUAAGAACUCUUGACUGAAAAAAGGAAGAAUUUGAUUAAGGCAUGAUAUCGAUGCCGGAUUAUUAAGUGUUUAUGCAUAAAUCAUGGGGUAUGAAAGGCUGAUCCCCUUGAAUACCAAAACUUAUUAAGAGGUCCAGUUUAAAUGACUGAGAACCUUGGCAAAUGUUCAUGGUUAUUUCAAAACCACUCAGUUCGUGUUAUUCAAUUAUUCGAAUAUUCAAUUGUUGAUUAUUAAUUCAUGUUCCUUCAUAAUCUUAUAUUAUUGUUAAACAUUGAAAGCAAAACUUCUUUCCAGUCAUGAUAUAUCUCCCUUGUAUAUAAACUUGCUAAGAAAAUUAGUUGCUUACCCUUACUAUAUUAUGGCAUUUAUUUCAGUUAAGCUCGAAGGAUCCAAUACGAAAGACAAAGGCAAGGGCAAGAUCCAAGAAUAAUUUAGAAUGAAUGUUAGUUAUUAUUAUCUGAUGGGAUUUCUUAUGUAAACCUUUUGUAAUAUGAAUGGUGUAUUUAAGUUAAGGUUAAGAAGACCUUGGGACCAUGUUAUGAAAAUUUAUUAUAAUGAACAAUGUAUGUUUAUUA
RNAcentral lists this long non-coding RNA (18376 nucleotides) under Panax ginseng (ginseng). RNAcentral describes it as "long non-coding RNA (PGIN_LNC011614)". Lineage: Eukaryota; Viridiplantae; Streptophyta; Magnoliopsida; Apiales; Araliaceae. The record is from RNAcentral.